Molecule: ribosomal RNA, 422 nt
Filed under: uncultured bacterium
Lineage: Bacteria
Description: bacterial SSU rRNA
Rfam family: Bacterial small subunit ribosomal RNA
Source: RNAcentral
GGAAUAUUGGACAAUGGGGGCAACCCUGAUCCAGCAAUGCCGCGUGUGUGAAGAAGGCCUGCGGGUUGUAAAGCACUUUCAGUGGGGAAGAAGGCUUAUAGGUUAAUAACCUAUAGGAUUGACACUACCCACAGAAGAAGCCCCGGCUAACCCUGUGCCAGCAGCCGCGGUAAUACAGAGGGUGCAAGCGUUAAGCGGAAUUACCGGGCGUAAAGGGUGCGUAGGUGGUUAGUUAAGUCAGAUGUGAAAGCCCCGGGCUUAACCUGGGAACUGCAUUUGGUACUGGCUAGCUAGAGUUUGGUAGAGGGAAGUGGAAUUUCCGGUGUAGCGGUGAAAUGCGUAGAUAUCGGAAGGAACACCAGUGGCGAAGGCGACUUCCUGGACCAUAACUGACACUGAGGCACGAAAGCGUGGGGAGCAAA